GACGAACGCUGGCGGCGUGCUUAACACAUGCAAGUCGAACGAAGAGCGAUGGAAGCUUGCUUCUAUCAAUCUUAGUGGCGAACGGGUGAGUAACGCGUAAUCAACCUGCCCUUCAGAGGGGGACAACAGUUGGAAACGACUGCUAAUACCGCAUACGAUCUAACCUCGGCAUCGAGGAUAGAUGAAAGGUGGCCUCUACAUGUAAGCUAUCACUGAAGGAGGGGAUUGCGUCUGAUUAGCUAGUUGGAGGGGUAACGGCCCACCAAGGCGAUGAUCAGUAGCCGGUCUGAGAGGAUGAACGGCCACAUUGGGACUGAGACACGGCCCAGACUCCUACGGGAGGCAGCAGUGGGGAAUCUUCCGCAAUGGACGAAAGUCUGACGGAGCAACGCCGCGUGAGUGAUGACGGCCUUCGGGUUGUAAAGCUCUGUUAAUCGGGACGAAAGGCCUUCUUGCGAAUAGNGAGAAGGAUGACGNAC
This 479-nucleotide ribosomal RNA is filed under the name uncultured bacterium. RNAcentral's name for it is "bacterial SSU rRNA". It matches the Rfam family "Bacterial small subunit ribosomal RNA", at positions 28 to 477 of the family's 1533-position model. The record is from RNAcentral.